RNAcentral lists this ribosomal RNA (372 nucleotides) under uncultured organism. RNAcentral's name for it is "bacterial SSU rRNA". It matches the Rfam family "Bacterial small subunit ribosomal RNA", at positions 526 to 896 of the family's 1533-position model. The record is from RNAcentral.
CGAAGGUGGCAAGCGUUGUUCGGAAUCACUGGGCAUAAAGAGCACGUAGGCGGCUGAGUUAGUCGGAUGUGAAAUACCUCGGCUCAACCGAGGAACUGCGUCCGAUACUGCUUGGCUUGAGGUCCGGAGGGGAGAGUGGAAUUCCCGGUGGAGCGGUGAAAUGCGUAGAGAUCGGGAAGAACGCCGGCGGCGAAAGCGACUCUCUGGUCGGAAUCUGACGCUGAGGUGCGAAAGCUAGGGGAGCAAACGGGAUUAGAUACCCCGGUAGUCCUAGCCAUAAACGAUGGACGCUAGGUAGUGGUCGUUCCUAUGCGAUCACUGCUGGAGCAAAUGUCUUAAGCGUCCCGCCUGGGAAGUACGGUCGCAAGAUUA